Molecule: ribosomal RNA, 362 nt
Filed under: Bacillus sp. MBGLi97
Lineage: Bacteria; Bacillati; Bacillota; Bacilli; Caryophanales; Bacillaceae
Description: bacterial SSU rRNA
Rfam family: Bacterial small subunit ribosomal RNA
Source: RNAcentral
UUUAUCGGAGAGUUUGAUCCUGGCUCAGGACGAACGCUGGCGGCGUGCCUAAUACAUGCAAGUCGAGCGGACAGAUGGGAGCUUGCUCCCUGAUGUUAGCGGCGGACGGGUGAGUAACACGUGGGUAACCUGCCUGUAAGACUGGGAUAACUCCGGGAAACCGGGGCUAAUACCGGAUGCUUGUUUGAACCGCAUGGUUCAAACAUAAAAGGUGGCUUCGGCUACCACUUACAGAUGGACCCGCGGCGCAUUAGCUAGUUGGUGAGGUAAUGGCUCACCAAGGCGACGAUGCGUAGCCGACCUGAGAGGGUGAUCGGCCACACUGGGACUGAGACACGGCCCAGACUCCUACGGGAGGCAGC